AUGGGAGGCACCCCUGGCCAAGCAGAGUCUGGGGGCCAGGCUGGGAACGUGGCGCAGGGGGCAGCAGCUCCCUUCAUCUCGCAACAUUUUGGAGAGACCCUGGACACAUGCAUCCCCACCCCCAAACCCACUCCACCCACCCACACAGACACAUACUACAAAGACCCAGACUCUCGGGGUCGGGGACUAGACGGGAGACCUGGUAGUAGCAUCUUCCACCUCAGCUCUCGACUGCCCUGCUACCCCCCCCACCCCAAGCCCAGGGCCUGGAAAGCAAUCAGACAUGCUUGGAAUUCCAAAAAUGCGCCCUGGCUCGGGCCUCAGCCUGCUCCCCAGCCUUCUGGGAGACAGAGAGAGGGGCCAGGGCCUCAGGGCUGUCUGGGAAAGAAAGCCCAAUACCCCCACUCCGCCUCCCUCCCCCACCCCGUGCCUCUGACCCCAGUGGCUCCAGGGUCAGGGCAGGGCAGUAGAAGCCCAUGUGUCUGUUUCCCUUUGGGAGGCUCCCCACCCCCACCCCAUCUGGGCUGCGGCCCUCCUGGACAGAGAACACAAUGGCACAAAUCUAGGGUACAGGGGGCCCCGCUGGACACUGCGCACGGUCACCUGCCCCACCCCACCCCCGCCGCCCCCACUCACACACACCCUCCCAGCGCUGACAUUCCGGAAGGCAAGUCCUAGCAGAAGUUCCAGGGAGAGCCAGGCCAAGGCCGCUGGGGGAACGGUGAGCCUGGCCACACCCCACUAAGCUGGCAGAACAUGCCCGGCCUGGCCAGCGAGCCGUGCCCUGGGGAGCAGGGUGGGCUCGCUGGGACACGCUUCACAUACAGGCCUGGAGGCACGGAGAGCACAGGUGCGUGAGUGGCCAGCCUCCAUGCACAGUGUCCGGGCCCAACAGGGGAAAAGCCACUCCAGGUUCCCCUUCCCACCCCUACCCCCACCCCCGUGGGCCACAGCCAAGGCACAAACCUCAGCUCCUGGGAGUAGGGGGAGGACAGAUGGGGGCCACCCUGGCUCCAGUGGAAUCGCUGGGACUCUGCUUAACCAACGUCUACUCCCACCACCUUCUCCCAAAAAGGACUCAACAAGGGCCUUGAACCCCAGCAGGACAGAGCACAAAAGAACCGGACAACAAAGACACAGGCAGAGGGGCUGCGGGUCCAGCUGGGCUCUGCACCUCGGGCCUCAGCUACCCACCCCCAACCAGUGAGGACCCCCACCCCCACUCCGCGCGAGCAGAGCCAGAAG
This 1245-nucleotide long non-coding RNA is filed under the name Oryctolagus cuniculus (rabbit). RNAcentral describes it as "lncRNA (ENSOCUG00000031122.1)". The record is from RNAcentral. Lineage: Eukaryota; Metazoa; Chordata; Mammalia; Lagomorpha; Leporidae.